RNAcentral lists this ribosomal RNA (264 nucleotides) under uncultured bacterium. RNAcentral describes it as "partial 16S ribosomal RNA". It matches the Rfam family "Bacterial small subunit ribosomal RNA", at positions 793 to 1055 of the family's 1533-position model. The record is from RNAcentral.
GUCCACGCCGUAAACGAUGAUUACUAGGUGUGGGGGGAUUGACCCCUUCCGUGCCGGAGUAAACACAAUAAGUAAUCCACCUGGGGGAGUACGACCGCAAGGUUGAAACUCAAAGGAAUUGACGGGGGCCCGCACAAGCAGUGGAGUAUGUGGUUUAAUUCGACGCAACGCGAAGAACCUUACCAGGUCUUGACAUCGAGUGACCGCCUAAGAGAUUAGGCUUUCCCUUCGGGGACACAAAGACAGGUGGUGCAUGGUUGUCGU